This 173-nucleotide non-coding RNA is filed under the name Candidatus Avigastranaerophilus faecigallinarum. RNAcentral's name for it is "6S RNA". It matches the Rfam family "6S / SsrS RNA". Rfam says of the family: E. coli 6S RNA was the first non coding RNA to be sequenced, but its function was unknown until recently. It consists of 184 nucleotides that fold into an extended hairpin structure with a large single-stranded internal bulge. The 6S RNA specifically associates with RNA polymerase holoenzyme containing the sigma70 specificity factor. Lineage: Bacteria; Bacillati; Candidatus Melainabacteria; Candidatus Gastranaerophilales; Candidatus Gastranaerophilaceae. The record is from RNAcentral.
CAAAUGCUCUAUACGGGUAUUUAUUUUGUUCCUACAUCUUGAUUAAUAGGGAAAGAUGACUCUAAUAACAAUGCAGUAGACCUGCCAAGUAGCAGGAAACGGAUUUGUUAAGGCACUUACCCACCUGUGGAGCAUUCACAGGUAACAAAAUCGUACUUGUAUAGGGCUUUUUU